Myotis lucifugus (little brown bat) is the source of this 740-nucleotide long non-coding RNA. RefSeq lists it as uncharacterized. The record is from RefSeq and is a predicted model, not a curated record. The transcript has 5 exons. Lineage: Eukaryota; Metazoa; Chordata; Mammalia; Chiroptera; Vespertilionidae.
GUGGGCUUCCUGAGGUGAGCCUGUUGCUCACAGUGCCUGCACUGUACCAAAAUCCAGAGAGGGAGGGAUCAGAAAGUUAGUCAUAAAAAAAGGGGGGGGGGGAGAGCCCCAGGCACAAGGCGUAGCCACUCCUCUGUUAGAACCACAAUCAAACAAGGCUCAGGCAAUCCUCGCAGCUGCUCUCCAAAUGUCAGCGCCAGCCGUCAACACAGCUUGAAAGCCACCCAGCUGAAGGACUUUGUGCUGUACCUUCUCGCCCACAUUUUCCCCGAGCACUCCCAGGAACCUGGCAACAGGUAUGGAGCUGGAGGUCAAGUUCAGAGAGGCUGGUACCAGCCAGUGGCAGAUGGCAAUGAUCAAAGCUUCCAUAUCACCCAGACAGCUGCUGCCACAUCCCGUUGCUUCAGAAGCGGAAGGAAGGCGCAUUUCGGACCUUUCCGGCAGGAGGGACUGGUUGUAUUACAUCUGAUUGAGGCCAUAUGCACCCAAGGGUACCACUUAUGGACUCAAUGUUUGUGUCCCAACAAAAUGCAUAUGUUGAAGCUCCAACUCCCAAUGUGAUGGUGUUUGAAGAUGGGACCUUUGGGAGAAAGGCCACGUGAGAACAUAGUAGGAAGGCAGCCAUCUGCAACUGAAGACAAAGACAAAAGCUCUCAUCAGACAUCUAACCUGCUGGCACUUAGAUCUUAGACUUCCCAGCCUCCAGAAUUGUGAGAAAUAAAUGUCUGUUUUUUAAGCUA